GAUGAACGCUAGCUACAGGCUUAACACAUGCAAGUCGAGGGGAAACGAUGAGAGAGCUUGCUCUCUUAGUCGUCGACCGGCGCACGGGUGAGUAACGCGUAUCCAACCUGCCUCUGACCAAGGGAUAACCCGUCGAAAGUCGGACUAAUACCUUAUGCAGUCGUCGGAAGUCAUCUGAUGACGACGAAAGAUUUCAUCGGUGAGAUAUGGGGAUGCGUCUGAUUAGCUUGUUGGCGGGGUAACGGCCCACCAAGGCGACGAUCAGUAGGGGUUCUGAGAGGAAGGUCACCCACAUGGGAACUGAGACACGGUCCAAACGCCUACGGGAGGCAGCAGUGAGGAAUAUUGGUCAAUGGGCGUAAGCCUGAACCAGACAAGUAGCGUGCAGGAGGACGGACCUAUGGGUUGUAAACUGCUUUUAUGCGGGGAUAAAGUGAGGGACGUGUCCUUCAUUGCAGGUACCGCAUGAAUAAGGACCGGCUAAUUCCGUG
RNAcentral lists this ribosomal RNA (491 nucleotides) under uncultured bacterium. RNAcentral describes it as "partial 16S ribosomal RNA". It matches the Rfam family "Bacterial small subunit ribosomal RNA", at positions 28 to 507 of the family's 1533-position model. The record is from RNAcentral.